Molecule: ribosomal RNA, 468 nt
Filed under: uncultured bacterium
Lineage: Bacteria
Description: partial 16S ribosomal RNA
Rfam family: Bacterial small subunit ribosomal RNA
Source: RNAcentral
GAUGAACGCUGGCGGCGUGCUUAACACAUGCAAGUCGAACGGUGAAGGCGGAGCUUGCUCUGCUGGAUCAGUGGCGAACGGGUGAGUAACACGUGAGCAAUCUGCCCCUGACUCUGGGAUAAGCGCUGGAAACGGCGUCUAAUACUGGAUACGAGCUGCGAAGGCAUCUUCAGCAGCUGGAAAGAACUUCGGUCAGGGAUGAGCUCGCGGCCUAUCAGCUUGUUGGUGAGGUAACGGCUCACCAAGGCGUCGACGGGUAGCCGGCCUGAGAGGGUGACCGGCCACACUGGGACUGAGACACGGCCCAGACUCCUACGGUAGGCAGCAGUGGGGAAUAUUGCACAAUGGGCGAAAGCCUGAUGCAGCAACGCCGCGUGAGGGACGACGGCCUUCGGGUUGUAAACCUCUUUUAGCAGGGAAGAAGCGAAAGUGACGGUACCUGCAGAAAAAGCGCCGGCUAACUACGUG